Long non-coding RNA from Bos grunniens (domestic yak), 1766 nucleotides. Lineage: Eukaryota; Metazoa; Chordata; Mammalia; Artiodactyla; Bovidae. The record is from Ensembl.
AUGCACCAAGCAACACAAGCUUGGAUGCGUAACGAGAUCACCGGUGCCCAGUUCCACCUGCAGGCUGGCUGUACUUCCCCCGGCCUGAGUAUGGUCAACAGCUCAAAGGUCCCUGGGCAUUUGGGGGGCAUGGAGGAUUGGGCAUGGAGGAGGUGGGUCCCUGGGAUGAAGGCUUCUCCCUCCCGGUUUCAGGCUGCAGUAAGCCCCCCAACCCCCGUCCAGGUGUCCUCCACCUUGCCCAGUAACGAUGGUUACUGCAGCACUCAACACCCUCCUGCAACCCCUGCAUGUGCCCAAGGCUGCAGGGGGCUCAAUUCUUGGGCGCACGUGUUUCCCUGAAAUCACCUCCCACAAAAUGCUCGUUUUAGAGCAGAAUGGAGACCGAAGCGCACCGAGUAACAGCCCCCAAGACGUCCACGUCCUAACCCCUGGAGCCUUGAAUGUCACCUCACAUGCAAAGGGCUUGUGCAGAUGAGAGCAGGAGGGUGGGUGGACGUGGAAGCCGUGCAGUCCUGAGACUAGGACCACCACGGUUACUGGGGACUCUGGACGCAGCCCCGAGGGCCUGACGAGGAGGAGGCAGCGUGGGACCGCACCGUCCACAGCGAGCAUUGCAGAUGGAGUGAAGAGCCACCAACCAAGGGGUGCAGCGGCCUCUACACGUCAGAAAAACUCUUGCAGUGGAUUCCCCCUUAGAGACUUCAGGGGGAACCAGCCCUGCUGACACCGUGACUGGGCCCAGGGAGACCCAAUCCAGAGUCCCAAGAGGACACACGUGUUGUGUUAAGCCAUCGCAGCAGUAGGAAAGUACCACAGGAUGCUGGCUGAGACCUGAACGACUGCCCAGGACCCAGAUGGGCCGCCAGGGGUGACCCACUGUGCAGGCUGUGGGGACACAGCCCUGAGCCGCCGGCCUACAGGCCUAAGUGACAUCUGUUCUCGGAGCCCAUCCUUGUCCAGAAAUCCUUGGAGAGAAAUUCCCUUCACGUCCACUCAGGCGGGGACAACAAUGCCAGCAGUUGGGUGUGCGACCAAGGAGCAGGUGGGCUGGACGCUGGCCCGGCUCGGGGGCCGGCUGCUCGGCAGCUCCAGGGGCUAGGCGGGAGGGCAGUUGCUCUGAUCCGAUCAGCAGAGACCAUACACCAGGAUUCUUCUGCAGAAGCGUCUCAGUUUAAAACUGGAAUCUGUUAAAACUCUAAACGCACAGUGGAUAAACUUCAACUUUGCAGCUGGCUGCUGACGGAAGCAGGCCGUGCUCUCCUGGGGUUCCUGGCCCGUCCACACUCAAACCUCAGGCCCAGCUUCUGCAGGAGGAGUGGGAGGGGCCUGGUCACCAAGCCAAGUGGUCUCAGAGGUCAGGCGAGCCUGCACUAGGUCACCGGUGGGAGCUUCCAAGUCCCCUGGCUGCGCUGGGCUGGCGGAGGCCUGGAGCCCAGGUCUCUCAGAAAGCUGGGGUGGGGGAGGCAGGAGACGGGGAGCACUGACUCCGGGGAGAGACUGAGGGGGGGCGAGGGAUCCCUGGGACUCUGACCUGCUCCAGGGUCCUGGGCGGCCUCCAGGUCUCCAGGCCUUGCUGGCGCAGGGACGGGAGACCGCCCUUCCCACGCUCAAGGGGCCUCGGGCCGGUGACUCUUGCGGUGGAUGACCAGCUGGGACUUCCAGUCGAAGCUGUGGCCGCAGUCAGCACAGAGGUGGCGCCGCUGGCCGGCAUGGCCCUUGCGGUGGAUGACCAGCUGCGACUUCCAGCUGAAGCUGUGGCCGCACUC